AAAAAUCCUUAAUAAUUAUCUUAAUAUAAUUAAAAUUAAAAUAGAGUCUUGCGCUAUAAAAUCUCUUCUUUUGCAUUUUAGUCCUUGGGUCUUCCAUGUUUGCAUUUUUGGCACCACUUCUCUCUUUCUUUGCAUGUUGGCCCAUUAUAUCUUCAAAUUCGUACUUUUUUCCUUUAAAUUUCCUCUCGCCUCCAAUUUAGUCCCUAAAAGAUAAAAGACUACAAAAUAAUCUAAAUUAGUAGGAUCAUACUCAAAAUAAUCAUGCAAUUAGCACAUAAAAUAUGUCGUUCUAGAGUAUUAUCA
RNAcentral lists this long non-coding RNA (303 nucleotides) under Gossypium barbadense (sea-island cotton). RNAcentral's name for it is "long non-coding RNA (GBAR_LNC010408)". Lineage: Eukaryota; Viridiplantae; Streptophyta; Magnoliopsida; Malvales; Malvaceae. The record is from RNAcentral.